AUUGAACGCUGGCGGCAUGCUUUACACAUGCAAGUCGAACGGCAGCGCGGGCUUCGGCCUGUCGGCGCGUUGCGAACGGGUGAGUAAUACAUCAGCACGUGCACAGUAGCAUGGGCUGGCUCGACUAAAGCCGGAUUGAUACCACAUCAAACCUGAGGGUGAAAGAGGGGGCUCUUCGGAACCUGCGCUGUUGGAGCGCGCGAUGGCAGAUUAGCUAGUUGGUGGGGUAAAGGCCUACCAAGGCGACGAUCUGUAGCUGGUCUGAGAGGACGACCAGCCACACUGGCACUGAGACACGGCCCAGACUCCUACGGGAGGCAGCAGUGGGGAAUUUUGGACAAUGGGCGAAAGCCUGAUCCAGCAAUGCCGCGUGUGUGAUGAAGGCCUUCGGGUUGUAAAGCACUUUUGGCGGGAACGAAAAGGACUGUGCCAAUACCACGGUUCGAUGACGGUACCCGCAGAAUAAGCACCGGCUAACUACGUG
Molecule: ribosomal RNA, 484 nt
Filed under: uncultured bacterium
Lineage: Bacteria
Description: partial 16S ribosomal RNA
Rfam family: Bacterial small subunit ribosomal RNA
Source: RNAcentral